RNA transcript from Lagopus muta (rock ptarmigan), 11599 nucleotides. It is a transcript of the gene named coiled-coil domain containing 138, with no coding region annotated. Lineage: Eukaryota; Metazoa; Chordata; Aves; Galliformes; Phasianidae. The record is from RefSeq and is a predicted model, not a curated record. The transcript is spliced from 6 exons.
GUGCUUAGCAGAGGUUUGCUGGGUGUAGAGAAGUUUUCCUUGGUUUUCUUCGUCUUUUUCCAAUUGACGUAAUUUUCCCCUCCCUCAACCCCCAUCGAACUGCGUUUUUCCUCUGCCAUCGCGGCAGGGAGAAGAGCGCCAGAAGCUGCGGCGCGGCUGCGCGUCCAGCCAGUCGUUGUUGUUUCCGCGGUCUCCGGUGCCCUCUCGUGGCCAAGAGGUGGAAUUGCAGCCGUGUUUGUUUGGCUCCGCAGGCACCAGGGCGCAUGCGCACAGGCAUGCGGCGGUGGUGUUCCUAGCUCUGCGCAGCAAAUCCGCCGAGCUUUGUUAUGGUUAGUCCUCGAGGCAACAGAGCGCAUGCGCCAGGACACUCAUCGCUAGCAUUCAAAUCUACAAAGCCUCGAGGUGCAGGCGAGCAGUCGAUUCCUGGAGCCUGCCUCGGGAACAGACUAUUGUGGCUUCCAGCGGCCCCUGCGCCCCUCGUACGCGUAAUGAGGAGUCGAAAACAACGCACGCGUAGGUCUGCAGCGACUGCACCAGUUGCUCGAGCUCUUCCCACUGCAGGAGCUCAGAACUGACAAGAACCCUGACCAAAGCAGCGACUUCAGCAAUCCCGCGUCGUACCGCAGCAGAAAUGGGGCACUGCCGUACGUCAGCGAUCUCUGACUCAAGCACAGGGGCUGCACAAAGGACACACGCUGCAGCCUCCCUGUUUCUGUGGGGUUUGGGAUUGAUGUUUGAGCCAAAAGGCCUCAUGCUGCCAUACAGGCAGGUGCUGGGUUCACCCACUGAGGACGCCAAAUCCUAAAACAAUGUCACAGCGGUCUUUAAUUGCUGUGCGAGGAGAUGACGUGCAUUUCUCCCUGGGGAUCUGUAAGCUGACCCCACAGUGUGGCAGACAGCACCAAAAAGGGAUGCCAUCCUGUACUUUCCUACCCUAGUAACUCCUGGUUCUGCUGGUACACCUCUUGUACAUGGAGCUGGCUCUCCAUCUGGCUGAGACAUCAUCUUUAACACUUCAAAACAAGCCUAAGGAGAAAAGAUUUUGGUGAUGUGACAUGAAAAUAGACAGCACAAAUAUAGACCAGGAUGACAGAAGAUGUACGCGCUGGGUGUUGAAUACCAUUUGGAAACCAAACCCCAGUUACUUGACAGUCCAGGAAAUUUUUCACAGCUGAGCCAUUGUGUUUUCUUCAGAAGUUAGAAAUAAGAUUGGCAGAGUCAUGUCCGUAUUCACCCACGCAGCAAAGUACUGGAAGAACUGCAUUAUUUCAUCCCACUCUUCAUGCAUGUUCAAAAUAGUUGAUGGGUGAAGGAAUGCUGGCUGGUUUUACGCUAAGAAAAAAGCCUCCACAAGUUCACAUUCAGUACAAUGGAAGAACAGAACCUGCCUGUACAAAUCUAUCCUACGCUGACCUAAGCAGAAGCAUUAGAGGUCAUAUAAAUGUUCCUUGUCUUAGUUACUGAAUCUGGUUUCUGUAAUCUGAAGGUAAGGCUGCUUACACACUAUUUUCAGUUGUUUUUCAGGACAAUGGAUUUAAUGACAUAAAAAUGAAUUAACUGACUCUCCUCUCCUGACACUCUAUUAAUUGGAGAUACUUGAAGUUGAACUGGAAAAGCAGUACAUACAAGAUUUAUUGUUCCCGAUGGAGUCUUAGUCCUGCUGCCUUUUAUAUCCAUUCUGAUAUCACUGAAUCAACCUGAAGUCCUAUGGAUAAAAGAAGGAAUUAUUUUAGAUUUUCCCGAGGCUCAGCCUUCAUCACAAUAUAAGAUAUCCAGUUGUAUCACCACCAUCCCUGCAACUCUCUUCCUACUCUCAAGUUUACUGGAUUUCUUGUUAUUUAUUGAUUUCCAACUUCCAAGGUCUGUGUAAGAUACCUUUCUGGUUAAGCUCCUGUACUGAUCUCUCUCUUUUUUUAUUAUUGUUGUUAUUUUUUAAUUUUUUCUUCUGUAAAUUAAUGCUAGUUAGUGAUUGCUACUUGGGUCACUAUCAUCUUCUACUCUCUCAUCCCAAGUGUAUUACAAGAAUGAGAAACUAUUUAUGGUUGAACUGUACUAACUCUGUCUUCCUUUACUGCACUUACCUGAAGUGCUUUAAAACGACUCAAUGAAGGACAGGGAAGUAUUUUCAAAUUAUAGCUGUGAGUGAUGACCAGAGAAUAAGAAACCUCCGACCUGAAAUUAGAGGAGCUGUUGACACUGGCUACAAUUCUGAAUAGUAGUUCAAAGCCAAAGAAGAAACAAUAAUAUUAUGUCAUUCACCGGGGAAAAAAAAAAAAAAAAUCCACUGUUAGAUUUUUAGCAAAUAAACAAGUAUAUAUGAUUACAGAGAGGACCGAAAAGGAUUUUUGGAACUGUGUCUAAGUUUGAAUAAAAUGCUUUUAUGUGUUUACAGAAUUAUUCUAAAGGAUGAUUGUUGAUCUGCUGAAGCCUUCUUGAUUCUACAUUUUUCUCAGUUUGAAUUAUAAAAACUGUAAUUGUAUAUUCUGAACCUAGAAGAGAAAAUCUAGAAGGCUAUUCUGAUUUUUUCUAACCAUCUGUUGAAAAAUGUCAUGAGCGCUUGUUUAUCUGCACUUCUGUAAGUUCUCAACAUUGAUUGUAUUUUAUUUUCUGUAUCUAAUUACUCUUCAGAAUGAUAUGUUUAUGCUACUGGAAAACUUCUAUUUUAGAGUGGAAUUAUGCAUACAGUAUUCAUAUGGAUCUGAUCAGAACUGAAUAAUGCAGAUAUUUUUAUAAGUACAUCUUUUGAAAGGAAAAAAGUGUCAUAAUAUAUUUAAAAACCCACCACCUUUCAGGAAAUAACGAUAGCAUCUUUUGUGAGCUGGAAGUUCAAUAUGAAUAUUCAUUAAAAAUAAUGAUGAUAUUCUGACUGUCUUGUGGGAAUAUUACUGUAGCAUCAGAAAUUCCUCCUGAAUUCUUCAACUAAGUUUAUGCUGCCAUAUUUAUUCUAAAAUUCUGGAGAUCUUGUGAAGGCAAGAUGCAAGUGAGAUUUCCAGUAUAUGCAGAACUGCAUCCCAGCCUUAUAUAUGCUAAGUGCAACAUUUGCUAUGUUGAAUUAUUAUUGUUAUUAUUACAAUAAUUACUGUUGUUGUUGUUGUCAUUGUUACUGUUACUAUUGUUAGGUUGCUUGUUUUAGCAAAGACGUAAAGUGAAACAGGUAAGUAAGACAGGGAUCUCCUGGCAGGAGUCCAGUGGAGGGCCAUAAAGGUGAUAAAAGGCUUGAAGCACCUUCCUUAUGAGGAAAGGUUGAGCGACCUAGGGCUGUUCAGCCUUGAGAAAAAAAGACUCAGAGGGGAUCUGGUCAGUGCCUGUAAAUACCUAAGGUGAGGAAAGCAAACAGACAAGGCUAGGCUCUUUUCAACAGUGCUUGGUGAUAAAACAAGGGGAGAUGGCCACAAACUGAAGCACAGGAUGUUCCACACACAUGUGCAUAAGAACUUCUUGACAGUAAGGGCACUGGAACAGGCUGCCCAGAGAGUCUGUGGAGUCUCCUUCUCUGGAAAUGUCAAGGCACACCUUGAUGCCUAGCUGUGCAACCUGGUCAAGGGAGCAUGCUUUGGUAGGGAAGUUGGACUAGAUGAUCUCUAGAGGUUCCUUCCAGACCCUGCAGUUCUGUGACUCUGUGAAAUACGUGAGUUGGAGUUACGAUAACAGAAAGAGUUAGUGUUAGUUUUCUUAAGAUCAAAUACAGAAAUAAAGGGAGGUUGAGAACAUCAUUUUCCUAAUAUUAAUUUUCUCUGUUUAAAGGAAUGGUAAAUGUAUAUGCAAAUGUUCUUCUACUGAGUCUUUGCUGAACAUUUGAGCUACUUAAUACAAGUGCUGAAUUCGGUUUCUUCUUCACAGAAACUUUCCAUAUACUGACAUAUAAGAAUGCAUUACUCAGUGUAACAGGUACAGUAGUCGUUGUAUAACUCCUCACUUGAAUUAGUAGAGCUUGCUCAGAUUCAAUGAUUACUUGAUAUUUAGCUAGCUUAAACAGAACUGAGAUCACAGGAAAAAAGAGAGCAUGAAGAAGUCAUCAGAAUUAUCUAGCUGUGAUUAGAAAAGAUACAUUGUUUACGUGCACCUAGAGAAAUGUGAAAAAGCUGAAGCACAGAUCUUCUACAUAACCUACUUUGCAGUAUUUACAAUAACAUGGACUAAAACAUUAGAUUGGUACUCAUGUAAAGUUUAAUGUUUAUCGUAGUGUCUCUGCCCUUGACAGUAGCUAAGUAAGCCCAUACAUCUGUUAUAUUUCUUUCAUGCUGCCCAUGUGUCCGGCCUCUGUGCCCAUCAGCAGUAAUGGUCCUCAGUGCAAUUACUGUAAUUCAAAGGCAUUAACCAGAAAUUAAAUGCAUAUUAGUUAUAUAGUAUGAAAUUAUGUUAGCUGCAAACCACAAUCUCAAUAGCAUUUUACAAGUACCAGUGUGACAGAUAAGAAACAUAAGAAUAGGUCUUUAGAAAUAUUGUGCCUGAAAACAAUUCUGAAAGCACAUUGAUAUUUUGAAAGCAUUGUUGGCUAUCUGUCAUCAUGGUUUAUCAGUAACUGACUGUCCUCAAAUUCCAGACAGCUUGUCUAAUCAUCUCCUGGUUUACUUACAGAUUUCAAAUGCUCACCAUUCCUGAUACAAGCCAUUGGCUUUCUUGGCUACCUGGGCACACUGCUGGCUCAUAUUCAGCCAACUGUCCAUCAGCACACCAACGUCCCUUUCUGUCAGGCGGCUUUCCAGCCACUCCUCCCUAAGCCUGGGGUUGCCUGGAGUUGUUGUGACCAAAAUGCUGGACCUGACACUUGAUUCUAUUGAAACUCAUGCAGUUUACCUUGGCUCAUCAAUUCAGGUCCCUCUGUAAUGCCUUUCCUCCCUCUGGCAGAACAACACUCCCUACCAACUUGGUGUCAUCGGCAAACUUACUGAGGGUAAGUCAUCUCAUCCCCUCAUCAAGAUCAUUAAUCAGGAUGUUAAAUAGAAGCGGCCCUAGAACAGAGCCCUGGGGGACAAUGCUCGUGACUGGCCUCCAACUGGAUUUAACUCCACUGACCACAACUCUUUGAGUUCGGCCAUCCAGCCAAUGUUUCAUCCAGCAGAGCGAAUGCCCAUCCAAACCAUGGGCAGCCAGCUUCUCCACGAGGAUGCUGUGGGGGGCAGUGUUAAAGACUUGACUGAAGACCACAUCAACAGCCUUACCUUCAUCCACUAAGCAGGUCACCCUGUCAUAGAACGAAAUCAGGUUUGUCAGACAGGAUCUUCCAUUCAUAGACCCAUAGUGUCUGGGCCUGAUCCCGUGGCUGACCUUUAAUUGAUCCAUGGUGGCUCCCAAGAUUAUCCGUUUCACGACCUUCCAUGGCACCAAGGGGAGACUGAUAGGUCUGUAGCUACCAGAAUCAUCUUCCUGGCCCUUUCUGAAGAUGGUCUUCAUAUCUGCCAGUCUCCAGUCCACCCAGACAUUCCCAGUUAGCCAGGACUGUUGAAGGAUGAUGGAGUGUGGUUUGGCAACCACAUCCACCAGCUCCCUUAGCACUCCAGGAUGCAAUCCAUCUGGCACCAAGGAGUUGUGAGUGUCCACGUUUCAGAGCAGUGUCCAGCUUUUUCCUUUUCCUUUUCCUUUUCCUUGGCCUUGGCCUUUGCCUUUGCCUUGAACUAGGUCAUUAUUGGAAAGAUUGUUGGUUUUUUGUUUUUUUUUUUUAAGGAUGAUAUUUUAUUUCUAUCCAGUGUGUAAGCAAUCAGAAAUGUUUUACUAGUGAAAAGAUAGAGCACAUUAUUUGGAAUUGAUAGCUAAUUUAUUUUAUUAUGAUUACCUGGAAUAACUUUUGCCACAAGAUUUUGAUUUACAUUUCUCUAAUAGUACUGAUUUAAAGGUGACUUUAACAUUCCUCAGCAGAAGCUCUUUGUGAACAAUAAAUCUAUUUUCUCUAACAGCAGCAUAGUGUCUUAGUCUCCUACAUGAAUGUGGUUGUAAAACAAAGUCCUAUAGAAAUAUAUCUACGCAAAGAUCAAUCCCAGUGUAGUAUUUUUACAGCACUACUAGUAACUGUAUAAUUCAUAUGGUAUGGUCUGCUCCAGUCUUGGAUAAAAGAGCUAAAUAUUUUAAUUUAAGUGAAUGAUUUUGUUAGGUAUCACAAGUCCAAUCCCUGCUGGUGUUACGCUGCCAUUGUGUCUAAAAUGUACUGUAAGCUAUUUCUGUUUGUGUGUAUGAACUGAGCAAAGAACAGCAGUAAUGUGCUCGGUGUCAGUGCAUAUACCAUGACUGAGAGCAAAAUAAAUCAUUUUCUUCAGAUGGUAGAGGCCAAAGUAAGAAGUUAAGUUUUAUUUUGUUCAGGAUUUGAAUGACGGUACUAUAAAUCAUGGUAUCAAAAUAAUAGGCUGAUCCUAAAUUCUUGUACUGGAUACAAAGAUUGCCUUCAUAGCCCAGAAGUAGUGCAGAUUGUAGAAUUUUUAACAACUAUUGUUAUUGUUAUUAUAAAUAGUCAUGUGUUAUUACCUAAACCCUGAUGGUGGAGCAACAAUUUGACUAAUUUUUUUUUCUUACAAUAAUGUCAUUUAGAUACGGUUAAAAUAGUGUUCUGUUUUAAGUUAUUGCAGACUGUAACAUUUCAGUGCACUGAAUAUGAGUUUAACAAUACCUAACCAAUGAAGUUAAUUUGACUGAAAAAUGUACUACUUGUCUUUUAAAGAAUAAGAAUGAAAGAUUGUAAGGGAUUUGAAGAUAAUGUGGAAUUGCUUGGGAAGUAAUUUUUGGGCUUCUACCUGUAUUUUGCUACCAGUUAAAAUCUCCACAAACAUUCAGUUAUUUUUUUCCUGCAUCUGAAAAUUUAACAGUGUGAAUUCAUUUUUAUAUGGAAUUAUAUCUAAUAGAAUGUCUAUAAACCCUGAACACGCAUUGGGUUUUAUUUCAGUGAAAUACUUAUUUUAUUGUCAAUAGUCUUCUCAGGAAUCAGUUGUCAGUGUGCAUGUCUGUUACAUGGAAGGAAACAAUUUAUACGUCUUCAGCACAUAACAUCCUUUAUAAACAUUCCAUGUGAUUUUUUGAUAGCAAGCAAAAGCAUGACAGGUGAAUGCAGAAGAGAUAUUUGGGGAAUUUUCUUGAUAAUAUUUGCUCACUAUAUGUAAUAAGACUCCAAAGUCACUGUAAAGAACUGGAAUGUUACAGAUAUUUCAGAAAGUUACAGCAGUGCACAGUGCAUGCUAGAUAUAACAUAUUGACAUAACUAAAUAUAAUACAAAGUAAUCUAUUCUUUGCAUUGAUCUGCUCCUUGAGCUUAACACUGUUGAACAAUCAGUAUUCAGACCAGCAGUUUGUGAUAGUUUAGAUGGUAGCUGUAGGUUAAUGCAUGGCCUCUGAGAUUCAAAUGGCUGGCAUACUUCAGGCAAAUAAAAUAAUAAAAUACAUGAAAAAGAAUAUCCACUAAGAUGCUAAUAAGCCCAGUUGCCGUGAGAAUAUGUUGUCAUUACAAGGCUUCUAUAUAUUUUUUUCCAAAUUUUAAGAAUUAAUGAGAACAGUACAUGUGAAAAGGCUUAGGAUCUAUCAGUUUCUCCAAACGACAAUAUAAGCACAUUUUCUAUUGUUCAGCAUGAUUUUUUUCCCAAUUAUAAACUAAGCAAGCUAGGAGUUAGAAAAAAGUGUGCAUGUUAAAGCUUAAUAUUAAAAUAAUGAAGGUUAUGAAAAACCUUCACUAGUCAAAAAAAUGGAAGGUGUGGUAAGAAAGAGUGCAGGAGUGGAUGAUUAAAAUAGAAAAAUAUUGAAACCUUAGUCAAAUCUUUGAUUUCAACGGGGGUUUCACUUGAACAGAAAAUAAAUCAAAAUAAUCAGGGUUUCACAAUUUCAAUUCUUACUAUUAUUAAUGUCAAAAAUAUGGAUAGCAACUUCAGUCUAUCCAAUGUUUUAAUUCGCCAAGUACUAAUGAAGCGGCCUACUAUAAAGUGAGUAAAAUCAGACUGAAAUAACAGGAUUUGGAAUGGAGACAGAACUUACGAUGUUUAUUUCCUACAGUUCUUCAAGUAAUAAAAAUACCUAGGCAGGUUUCCUCCAUCUCGAAUGCAGGAUUGCAUAUAUGCAAUACUGUGAAACAAGAACAUUCUGCCUCUAAAACAAUUUUGCCUACUUCCAAAUUAGCUGUGUGCACGAGAAAGCAGUAUGAAAAUCACCUUUACCUUGCUGUACAAACACUCACUUAUCUUGAACUCAAAACGUUCUUUUGAAGACUUGCUGAAAGGAAGAAUAUGAAUUAUGUUUCGGCUGCACUUUCAAGAACAUAUUGCUGAACAAUAUACUGAAUUUGUUAUGCAAAACGUUCUUAGAUUUAGCAGCUUUCUAGAUAGACUAUUAUACGUGUUAAGAAAAGAAAAAGAAAAAAAAAAAGGAGAAAAAAAAAAGGAGAAAAAGGAGAGCUUUUCUUUCAGUGAAAAAGAGUGUAGUCAGCAUUCUAAUAACAGCAAUGUAGUGAUGAGGAUGUAAGAAUAGAAUAAAGUGAAAUGUUGCACAACAAAUUACAAACUACACUGAAAAGAUGACCAUGCCACAGGAAGUAAAUAAAUAAACAAACAAAAUUAAAAAAAAAAAGACACCUGGAAAAUAAACACAUAACUGCAAUCAAAUUUAAGCAGGUCUGGAAACACCAAAUGACCAAUGCAAAGAAGGUGAGCUGCAAAUUCAAAUCUAACAUCAGUAAAUCUUGCUCACAGAACUGCUUUCACAGUAUCACAGAAGUACACAAACACCAAAGUUGGAAAAGACCUACAAGAUCAUCCAAUCCAACCAUCCACCUGUCCCCAGUAAUUCUCACUAAACCAUGUCCCUCAACACAAAAUCCUUGAAACAUUCCUUGAAUGACUCCAGGGUCAGUGACACCAUCACCUUUCUGAACAGCCCAUUCCAGUGCCUGACCACUCUUACAGAGAAGCAGUAUUUCCUAACAUCCAGCCUGAAUCUCUGGUGCAGCUUUCAGCCAUUCCCUCUAGUUCUAUCACCAUCUACACGAAAGAAAAAGCUGACCCCCCGCUAACUGCAACCUGCCUUCAGGUAGCUAUAGAGAGCAAUGAGGUCUCUCCUGAGCCUCCUCUUCUCCAGACUGAACAAUCCCAGCUCCUUCAGCCACUCCUCAUCAGGCCUGUGCUCCAGACCCCUCACCUUCUUUGUUGCCCUUCUUUGAACCCGCUCCAGAGCUUCAAUGUUUUUUCCCUGGUCUUUUUCCUCUACACAGUCUUCCAGCCACUCCACCCCAAGCCUGGGGCUUUUGUGGCCGAAGUGCAGGAAUCACAGAAUCACAGAAUCACCGAGGUUGGAAAAGACCUUCAAGAUCAUCCAAUCAAACCGUCCACCUAUCACCAAUAGUACUCACUAAGCCAUGUUCCUCAACACAAAAUGCAACCGUUCCUUGAACACCUCCAGGGUCGGUGAUUCUGGCAUUUGGUCUUGUUGAACCUCAUCCAAUUGGGUUCAGCCCAGCUCUCCAGCCUGUCCAGAUCCCUCUGGAGGGCCUCGCUACCCCCAGGCAGAUAGACCCUUCCAGCCAACUUGGUGCCAUUCACAAACUUCCUGAUUGUGCACUCAAUGCCCUCAUCCAGGUCAUCAGUAAGGAUAUAGAAGAGGACAGGCCCCAGCACCGACCCCUGGGGAAUAGCACUCGUGACAGGUCGCCAGCUGCAUUUAGCUCCAUUCACCACCACUCCUUUUAGUCGUGUGUUCUCCACAGGCACAUCCCAUUGUGUGGUACAUUUCCUCCCAUAAUCCGGAAGAAACAAAGAACAAUCUCCUUUCUUUACAAGGAGAGUGGUUAGGCCCUGGAACGGGCUGCCCAGGGAGUUUGUGGAUGCCCCGUCCUUGGAUGUGUUCAAGGCCAGGUUGGACGGGGUCCUGGGCAACCUGAUUUAAAUGUGUAUGUUUGGUGGCCCUGCUAGGCAGGGGAGUUGGAACUACAUGAUCCUUGAGGUCCCUUCCAACCCGGGUGAUUCUGUGAUCUGUGAUUCUGUGAACAAUGACUGUGUACCAGAAUGUACUCAUUCAGGGAACUGUGAAAGAACAGAAAUACCUACUUGUAAGGUAUUAAUAUAUUUCAUGAAGCAAAACCUUUUAUUUAGCCUGUUAAUUCAGAGUCUCAAAGGAGACCUAUAGAAAGCCUUGCAAGAAUCUAAACUGUGAAACAUACAAUUGUGUAUGGAGUAAAAUAUUCCCUCAUUCAUGCAGUUUAGCAAAACCCAAAUCUGUCCUACUCGUGCAAAUUGGAUGAACCAGAGAAUUACAAAGCCCAGUUUUCUAGCAGUGCUUGGUGAAGUCUCAUACUUUAAGUGCUGGAAUAUUUUGGAGUAUUCCUUAGUAAUCAGUCCUUUUUUUCAACAACUGCAGCAAUGCACAGCAUAACUAUGAAGUGAUAAAAUGAUUGAGUUCAAACAAGUCAGCGAAGGGUUGUCUGAUCUGAACAUCUGCAAGGCCAUUGAUGUGGUCUCAUUUCACAACCUUAUCUCUACACUGGAGAGUUAUGGAUUGAAAGGGUGAACUAUUUGGUGGAUAAGGAAUUGAUUCAAAAGUCACAGCCUGCGGGUUGUGGUCAACAGGUGGAGGCUGGUGAGGAGUAGCGACUUCCAGUAGUAUCUCUUGGGAGCAGUGCUCUUUAACAACUUUAUUAAUAGACAUAGAUGAUGGGAUCAAGUGCACCCUCAGCAAGUUUGCAGACAACAUCAAGUUAAGUGGUACAGGUGAUAUAACAGAAGAAAGGGAUGCCACCUGGAAGGAUUUGAACAGGCUUGAAAAUUUUUCCCACAAGAAAGUAAUGAUGUUCAACAAGAUCAAGUGCAAAGUGUUGCACUUGGUCUGUUGCAGUCCCAGACGCACAUACAGACUGGGAGAACUCCUUGAGAGCAACCCUACUGAGAAGGACUUAGGGGUCCCGGUAGAUGGAAAAGAUAACCUGAGCCAGCAAUUCGUACUUAAGGCCUGCAAGGCCAACAGUAUCCUGGGCUGCAUCAAAGGAGAGAUGGCCAGCAGUGCAAGGAAGGUGAUUGUUCCCCCCAUUUUGUCCUUGUGAGGUCCCAUCUGGAGUAUUGUCUUCAGGCCUGAGACCCUCCACAAAGAGAAGGUGUAGAGCUUUUGAAAUGGGUCCAGAGGAGGGCCAGGAAGGCAAUCAGAGGCAUGGAGCACCACUCCUACAAAGAAAGGCUGAGGGAGCUUGGCUUGUUCAACCCGGAGAAGAAAAGGCUGAGGGCAGACUUCGUUGUAGCCUUCCAAUACUUACAUGGAGCUUAUUAGCAGGAGUGGAAGUCAAAUUUCACAUGGAUGAACAGCGAUAGAGCAAUGGGGAACCGUUUUAAACUAAAAGAAGGGAGGUUCAUAUUAGAUGUCAGGGAACUAUUUCAUGGAGAGAGUGGUGAGCUGCUGGAACAGGCUGCCCAGAAAAGUUGUAAUUCAUAUCACUUUUUUGGUUGUACAUUGUAUGGGAACUGCUGAAUGACGGCCUGAACCUCUGGUUGAUCAUCUGAGGUGAGCAAUGAGUCAGCCACGGGAACACAGGUGAAGGCAAUUCAGCUGUGCUGCCGGAAGGGAUGGAGCCUGGCUCCACCUCUCCUAGGCCCAUUUAAGAGCUGACUGCCAGUGGGGAAAGAUCUCUUCUGGAGAUCCGUUCCACUGCAGU